RNAcentral lists this ribosomal RNA (253 nucleotides) under uncultured bacterium. RNAcentral describes it as "partial 16S ribosomal RNA". It matches the Rfam family "Bacterial small subunit ribosomal RNA", at positions 524 to 776 of the family's 1533-position model. The record is from RNAcentral.
UACGUAGGUGGCAAGCGUUGUCCGGAUUUACUGGGUGUAAAGGGCGUGUAGCCGGGUUGACAAGUCAGAUGUGAAAUCCUGCGGCUUAACCGCAGAACUGCAUUUGAAACUGUUGAUCUUGAGUACUGGAGAGGCAGACGGAAUUCCUAGUGUAGCGGUGAAAUGCGUAGAUAUUAGGAGGAACACCAGUGGCGAAGGCGGUCUGCUGGACAGCAACUGACGGCGAGGCGCGAAAGCGUGGGGAGCAAACAGG